RNAcentral lists this non-coding RNA (32 nucleotides) under Homo sapiens (human). The record is from RNAcentral. Lineage: Eukaryota; Metazoa; Chordata; Mammalia; Primates; Hominidae.
UCCUUGGGCCCAUGAGGACUCUGUUCACUCUU